RNAcentral lists this transfer RNA (85 nucleotides) under Rickettsiales bacterium. RNAcentral's name for it is "tRNA-Leu". It matches the Rfam family "tRNA". Rfam says of the family: Transfer RNA (tRNA) molecules are approximately 80 nucleotides in length. Their secondary structure includes four short double-helical elements and three loops (D, anti-codon, and T loops). The record is from RNAcentral. Lineage: Bacteria; Pseudomonadati; Pseudomonadota; Alphaproteobacteria; Rickettsiales.
GCCCCCAUGGCGGAAUUGGUAGACGCGAUAGACUCAAAAUCUAUUGUUGAAAGACGUGUCGGUUCGAGCCCGACUGGGGGUACCA